GACGAACGCUGGCGGCGUGCUUAACACAUGCAAGUCGAACGGAAAGGCCCUGCUUUUGUGGGUUGCUCGAGUGGCGAACGGGUGAGUAACACGUGAGUAACCUGCCCUUGACUUUGGGAUAACUUCAGGAAACUGGGGCUAAUACCGGAUAGGAGCUCCUGCUGCAUUGUGGGGGUUGGAAUGUUUCGGCGGUUGGGGAUGGGCUCGCGGCUUACCAGCUUGUUGGGGGGGUAGUGGCUUACCAAGGCUUUGACGGGUAGCCGGCCUGGGGGGGUGACCGGCCACAUUGGGUCCUAGGUGAGGCCGCAGAGGCCAAGGGAGGACAGAGGGGGGAAGAUUGGAAAAGGGGCGGAAGGCUGGGGACGGAAGCCCGCGGGGGGGGAGGCCGUCUUGGGGGUGAAAACCGCUUUCGCCUGUGACGAAGCGUGAGAGACGGUAAUGGGUAAAGAAGCACCGGAUAACUACG
This 466-nucleotide ribosomal RNA is filed under the name uncultured bacterium. RNAcentral describes it as "partial 16S ribosomal RNA". It matches the Rfam family "Bacterial small subunit ribosomal RNA", at positions 28 to 505 of the family's 1533-position model. The record is from RNAcentral.